UGGAUUGCAUAUUUUCAUUUGGUUGAUGGCAUUUAUAUUUUUACUUAUCCUAUAAUUUGGGUACAAUUUUAUUUAUAAUUUGCUUCUAUGAUAUGAUGCACUUUAAGGACCAGUCUAAUUUGAUGCAAAGAUUUGUACAUUAGCAGGAAUGUAGCAAAACAUGGAGGUGAAAGCAGUGGUCUGUUUAUUUAAAUGUGAAAGUGCAAUAAAAAUAUGUUGUCCCUAAAAUCAAUCAAUAAUCAUGAUAAAUAAUCAUGGACUCAAUAUUGAUCAAAAUAAUCAGGAUUAUCAUUUUGGCCAUAAUCGUGCAGCCCUACAUGGAGAUAGUUGAUUUGCAAAAUGACAGAACUGAAAGCCAGAUCAAGGGACAGUGACAUUUGGGGACUUGUCAACAGAAAGAAGUUUCCUCUCCUGACCACACAUGCACUGAAAGUGAGUGCCUACUUUGAAUCCAUUUACCUCCGCGAAAUGGCAUUUUCACGGAUGAAAUUAAAUCAAAUCAAAUACAGGAGCUGCCUUACACAGACACCUAACAGACUGCUUCAGACUGGCUGUCUCUAGCUAUGAGGCUGUCUCUAACUACAGAGCACUCACAGACAGUAGCUGCAUUUACAUGGACAACAAUAAUCCACUCUUAACCCGAUUAAGACCAUACUUUAAUUAAGAAACUACCAUGUAAACAGCAAUUUUUACUUACCUUAAUCUAAUUAAGGUCUUACUCGAAUUAAGCUCUAAUUGAAUUAUGACAGGUGGAGUACUCCUGUUUUAGUCGCAUUAUAGACGUGUAUUACAGACAUGUAAACAUCUUAUAUAGACAGUAAGUACGCGGUUUGGGACACAGCCCACGGCUUCAAGCAGGUGUCUAUUAGCAUGUAUAGCAUGACAAAUAAUUAACUGCACUUAAAGCGUUCGUAAAAAAAAUAAAUAAAUACACCCAAAACUGUAUACGGUACCAUAACGAAGACGAACUGUAUGUUGAUACGUGAAAUUCUGGAGGGACGUCGGACAGCGUGGCGACGUAAUGAUGCGGGCUGUUAAUCUAAUUAUGUUCUAUAACAUAUAAAACGGGAAAAUGACAGGGGUAUUCUAAAAGCGACUCAUGUAAACACCUUAAUCACAUUAUUAUCUUAAUCAGAGUAAGGUCAAUAAUUAGAUUACUGCUGUCCAUGUAAACGUAGUCAGUGUUUAGUCCCAGCCAUCACACUAACUUGUGUGAUUAACAUCACUGCAGCAGUUUUGCCUUCUGAUGGCAUUGUGAAAAGUGAUGCUGCAUAAGAUGGGAC
Molecule: long non-coding RNA, 1283 nt
Organism: Ictalurus punctatus (channel catfish)
Lineage: Eukaryota; Metazoa; Chordata; Actinopteri; Siluriformes; Ictaluridae
Source: Ensembl